Molecule: ribosomal RNA, 452 nt
Filed under: uncultured bacterium
Lineage: Bacteria
Description: bacterial SSU rRNA
Rfam family: Bacterial small subunit ribosomal RNA
Source: RNAcentral
ACUCCUACGGGGAGGCAGCAGUGGGGAAUAUUGCACAAUGGGCGCAAGCCUGAUGCAGCAACGCCGCGUGAGCGAUGAAGGCCUUCGGUCGUAAAGACUCUGUCCUCAAGGAAGAAUAAAUGACGGUACUUGAGGAGGAAGCCCGGGCUAACUACGUGCCAGCAGCCGCGGUAAUACGUAGGGGGCAAGCGUUAUCCGGAAUCACUGGGGCGUAAAGGGGUGCGUAGGCGGUUUUCAAGUCAGAAGUGAAAGGCUAUGGCUCAACCAUAGUAAGCUUUUGAAACUGUUAAACUUGAGUGCAGGAGAGGAAAGUGGAAUUCCUAGUGUAGAGGUGAAAUUCGUAGAUAUUAGGAGGAACACCAGUGGCGAAGGCGACUUUCUGGACUGUAACUGACGCUGAGGCACGAAAGCGUGGGGGAGCGAACAGGAUUAGAUACCCUGGUAGCACAGAG